AACGAACGCUGGCGGCAUGCCUAACACAUGCAAGUCGAACGAGACCUUCGGGUCUAGUGGCGCACGGGUGCGUAACGCGUGGGAACCUGCCCUUAGGUUCGGAAUAACUCCCCGAAAGGGGUGCUAAUACCGGAUAAUGUCUUCGGACCAAAGAUUUAUCGCCUUUGGAUGGGCCCGCGUUGGAUUAGCUAGUUGGUAGGGUAAAAGCCUACCAAGGCGACGAUCCAUAGCUGGUCUGAGAGGAUGAUCAGCCACACUGGGACUGAGACACGGCCCAGACUCCUACGGGAGGCAGCAGUGGGGAAUAUUGGACAGUGGGCGGAAGCCUGAUCCAGCAAUGCCGCGUGAGUGAUGAAGGCCUUAGGGUUGUAAAGCUCUUUUACCCGGGAUGAUAAUGACAGUACCGUGAGAAUAAGCUCCGGCUAACUCCGUG
RNAcentral lists this ribosomal RNA (433 nucleotides) under uncultured bacterium. RNAcentral's name for it is "partial 16S ribosomal RNA". It matches the Rfam family "Bacterial small subunit ribosomal RNA", at positions 29 to 507 of the family's 1533-position model. The record is from RNAcentral.